This 972-nucleotide long non-coding RNA is filed under the name Sorghum bicolor (sorghum). Its description in RNAcentral is "long non-coding RNA (SBIC_LNC009696)". Lineage: Eukaryota; Viridiplantae; Streptophyta; Magnoliopsida; Poales; Poaceae. The record is from RNAcentral.
AAACUAUGAUGGAGUGACUAGAAUGAUGAAGGGAAUUCAAACUAUGAUGGAGCGACGAAAAUUGUAUGUCGUCUAGCGACUAGAAUGAUGAAGGGAAUUCAAACUAUGAUGGAGCGACGGAAAUUGUAUGUCGUCUAGAAUUUUCAAGAUACAUUGCUUUUAAUUUUGGAAUGAAGGGAACUCAACCUAUGAUGGACAUCUUAGAAUGAUGAAGGGAACUCAAACUAUGAUGGAGCGACGGAAAUUGUAUGUCGUCUACUUUUUAAGAUACAUCGCUUUUAAUUUUGGAAUGAAGGAAACUCUACAUAUGAUGGAGCGAUGGGAGGUACAUCUUGGAGUGAAGGAAGCUCUACCUAUGAUGAGCGAUGAGAGGUACAUCUUGGAGUGAAGGAAGCUCUACCUAUGAUGGAGUGAUGAGAGGUACAUCUUGGAGUGAAGGAAGCUCUACCUAUGAUGGAGCGAUGGGAAGUACAUCUUGAAAUGAGGAGAACUCGACCUAUGAUGGAGCGAUGGGACGUACAUCUUGGAAUGAAGAGAGCUCAAACUAUGAUGAUGCGAUGGGAGUGUGAGUCGUCUCCACCUAUACAUUUAACUCCCGACCUAGAACACAAGCUAGAUCUCUUGCACCCAAUGCCAGACAAUCAGAACCAUUAUGCACCAAUGAAGAGUGAGCUCUUCCAUGACUUUACUCCUACUUCGAGUUGCACUCCCAUGUUUAUUUACCACAACUCCCUCCUCUUCUCGCCCAUCAUCUUACUAAUUUUCGUCGCCCUCUCUUCUCCCACAUCUAGUUGCACCACCCUAAUAACUAGUCUGACUCGCCAAGUACCUCGAGCAAAUUGCAAAGUCUGCCAUUGACACUAUUGGCUUCAAAUUCUUAUAUUUGUGUGGAUCUCAAACCCUCAAAAUAUGUCUAGGCUUUGUUCUUCUCCAAUAUCUCAAAAGAUAUCUGAUUGUAUAGCUCAUCAUUGG